This 424-nucleotide ribosomal RNA is filed under the name uncultured prokaryote. RNAcentral's name for it is "bacterial SSU rRNA". It matches the Rfam family "Bacterial small subunit ribosomal RNA", at positions 338 to 774 of the family's 1533-position model. The record is from RNAcentral.
CCUACGGGCGGCUGUAGUGGGGAAUAUUGCACAAUGGGCGGAAGCCUGAUGCAGCAACGCCGCGUGCGGGAUGACGGCCUUCGGGUUGUAAACCGCUUUCAGUAGGGACGAAGCGCAAGUGACGGUACCUACAGAAGAAGCACCGGCUAACUACGUGCCAGCAGCCGCGGUGAUACGUAGGGUGCGAGCGUUGUCCGGAAUUCUUGGGCGGAAAGAGCUUGUAGGCGGUUGGGUGCGUCGCAAGUGAAAACUCAGGGCGUAACCCUGGGCUUGCGUGCGAUACGGGCUGACGUGAGGAAGGUAGGGGAGAAUGGAAUUCCCGGUGGAGCGGUGGAAUGCGCAGAUAUCGGGAGGAACACCAGUGGCGAAGGCGGUUCUCUGGACCUUUCCUGACGCUGAGAAGCGAAAGCGUGGGGAGCAAACA